Molecule: ribosomal RNA, 326 nt
Filed under: uncultured eukaryote
Lineage: Eukaryota
Description: partial 18S ribosomal RNA
Rfam family: Eukaryotic small subunit ribosomal RNA
Source: RNAcentral
CCCUUAGAUGUUCUGGGCUGCACGCGCGCUACACUGAUGCACUCAACGAGUUUACGACCUUGCCCGAUAGGGUUGGGUAAUCUUUUUAAAAUGCAUCGUGAUGGGGAUAGAUUAUUGCAAUUAUUAAUCUUCAACGAGGAAUUCCUAGUAAGCGCGAGUCAUCAGCUCGUGCUGAUUACGUCCCUGCCCUUUGUACACACCGCCCGUCGCUCCUACCGAUUGAGUGCUCAGGUGAAUAAUUCGGACUGCAGCAAUGUUUGGAUCCCGAACGUUGCAGCGGAAAGUUUAGUGAACCUUNUNACUUAGNGGAAGGAGAANUCGUANCA